This 7701-nucleotide long non-coding RNA is filed under the name Xyrichtys novacula (pearly razorfish). The record is from RNAcentral. Lineage: Eukaryota; Metazoa; Chordata; Actinopteri; Labriformes; Labridae.
AUAACCAAAUUGCGUAUGUGCAUUUCUCAGACUUCAGAAGAGGAAACAUCAGAGUAGAGUCCGACAAAACUGAUACAUCUGAGUAUUUUGAAACCCAGAACACCAACCACGGUAAGACCUUUCUGUUUCUGGUUCAACCCUAGAAAUCUAUCUUAGAUAAGUUAGUGUAAUAUUUGGCUGUAAGUCAAAGUUAAAAAAACGAAAUACGGUUUCUUUAACACUGUUAAAUCUUCACUAAAGAGCUUAAGUUAAGUUCAGCAAAAUGUCUUAAGUCAAAAAUACAAUGAAAAAAACAUAAUUAAAAGAGUUCUAAUUAUAAAAUGGUUGAUAAUUAAUGUAAGAAAAAUGUUUUAAAAGGCCAAAAUAAAAGGUAGUAAGUCCCAGUUGUAAGGUGGUAAGUUAAGAUUAAGAGUCAUAAUUAUAAAAUGACUUCAAAGUUAUAAGAAAAAUGAGAAAUAUAUAUCACAAUCUUAAGACAAAUAUAACUAUAUGAUAGAAAGUCAUAAUAUCAAGACAGUGAGUUAUGACUGGGAAAUUUUUCAGAAUUAUCACAAAAAAAUAAAGCUAUAACAUAGUCAUAAAAUUGUAAGUUACAAUUAUGAAAGUAUGUCAUGAUUAUAACAGAGUCAGUGUUAUAAGAGAGAACAUUGUGAUUAUAAGAAAAGUUUAAAUUAUGAAACAUUUUGAUGAGCCUGUCAUCAAAUCAAAUAUACAGACUGUUCAUGAAAACAAAGACUGUCUGAAUGAAAGGGUAUGUUUGAUUAUCAAAUUUAAUGAAGAUGUCUCAGAGCUGAAACUUUUAGAGAGGACUUCAGCAGUUUACACAGAGAUGUCCUGAACUGAUUUUUAUAUGAUUUGGCAUGAACAAUAAGAUGCCACAUUUUGCUGUUUCUAUCCUAGAAAGUCUGUGUAGAUGAGACCUGAGAUUUUCAACAGCAUUUACAGAGGCUGGUAGCUUAUUUACACUCUACUGACCUGAAGAGCUGCUUUACUUUUACUUUCAUUCUGACUCAAGAGCUUGUUAUCUUGACGAUCAUUCCCCAGUGUGUUUUUAAAUGGUCACGUAACAUCAAGAGUGAUUACACAGAGCCGAAGGAAAAGAGAUGUUAUCAAACAGUUUUUCAAAUGAACUUUGUUUGAGAGCCAAGGCAUCUUUUUUAAGUGGACUUUCUAUUUAAAAGUUUGCAUGUUCAGGAAUACUGUUCAACUCAUUUUGAUUUCAUUGAUUAACUUAUUUGUAUAGAAAGAGGACAGGAAAGCACUCACAGGGUAAUGUUUUGGAUUUUUUCAAAUGUAACCCAGAGAUUUCUUACAAGGAUUUUUUUUUCACAGUUUUCUAGGCUAAUUAUGAUUUUCAGGAAAUAUAAGCAGUUAUUUCCUUUUUUUUCUCUGCAGCCAUGGGAGGGUUGUAUUCAUACUUUCCAGAGCCAAACCCUGAUCCAGAGCCAUGUAAUAUUAUUUUUGAAUAUUAAACAAAUCUUUUAUCAAAAUAAAAUUUUUUGGAAAAAUUCUGACUAAACCUAAAAUUUGUUUUACUUUCAGUGUUCAGUGAGCCAUGGCGGCAACUCAACUGGAGGUAAGUGCUCUCUAAUGUACUAUUUUCCUAAAUCCCUGGGUGUGUGAUUUACAAAGUACCAGUGGAUAUACAAAACCAAAUCCUGACAGCAAAGGGUUAAGAUUCUGAGUUAAGAUCUGUUUUUUGUUGUUGUUGUUGUUGUUUUUUAACUCUCUCGUUUACUCCUCUGCUUUGUUCUUAUGUAUGUCUGUGUUUACCUGGGUAAGCACUUAGUAAACCUUUUUGAAUGGUGCAGUAUAAAUACAUUGGUUAUUAGUAUUAUUAAUAUUACCAUUAAAAUUACUAUAACUGUUAUUAUUAUCCCUGUAAUUACUCAGCUACCAACUAAAUAAACAAAUAAGUUAGCUCCAAGAAUUGAUUAAGAGAUGAUUUUGUUGGUCUAAAAAUGAUUCACUUUUACUCCUUCAGUUUUAAUGUUUGGUGCUAGUUCAUGCUCACUGCACACUUCUCUCUUGUCAAACUUGUGUUUCUGCUUUUCUGACAUAUGCAGACACACACCUUCCUCCUCCCCCCACUAUCCUCUCCCCACACAUGGCUGCAUGACAGUUUGCACUGCUGCUGCAAAAAGAGCUCAAGAUACAUCAGUCUAUGUCCACCUUUUGCAAUAUCUGCAAAUUCCAUGUGCACACAACUCUGCUGCACAUUUAUCUGAGCUAAUAAAAAGUGAAAAUGUUAUGAAGAAUUUAAAAAAGGAUAGGUCUCAGUUAAAGAUUUUUCUUCUUGCAAGAAAGAGCAGUCACAAACAGAGAGUCUGUAAGCAAAUGCUCAGAGGACUGUCCUCUGACUUUUUUUAGACACAGGGCAUUACCACUUAACAUCAGUCAUAACGAAAGCAUGCUCAUCCAUGACAAACUGUUGGCAACUCUUGCUUUCUUUGUUUUGCAGACUGGGUUCAGCUUUUGUUUCUCAGCCUUGACUCAGGGUCAGAACAGAGAUAGACAGUAACAGUGUGUUGCACAGUAUAUUUCUAUAAGAGCUGUCCUUAAAUUACCUUUGAUGACAUGAGUACAUGUACAAGGACUGGAUAAGAAGAUAUUUGUCCAGAGUCACCAUUCAUAGUUCCCCCAUACAUCUGGAAGUCCAUCUGUGUGCACUACUUACAUAAAACACAUAAGAACUAAUGUGGGACUUUUAUGAGAUAGUCACAUGACAGUUUGUGUGUACACUGACACCUCGCCUGAUCCAUCCUUUCUCUCCCUCCAUAGUUUCACAUCCUGCACUGAAUGUGCGUCACUUAAUUAUGCAAAACUAAAAUAAUGUGUGGUUGUUAUCAUUUUAUGUCACACAUCUUUCCUCCUCUGAACAGGGACAGACGAGGCAUUCUGGACUAUUUGAAGAACUACAAACCUAAGACCCCAGAACAAGUGAUCAGAAUUCUUCUUUAUGGGCCACCUGGAAGUGGAAAGUCCAGUUUCAUCAACUCUGUUAACAGUCUCUUACGUGAAAGACCGUACAUCAACGCUUUGGCAAGCCAUAACUACAGCAGAAGUUUCACCACAACGGUAUGACAACUUUUUUGUUGUAACAUAAAGGAAAUGUCUCAAAUUUGUAAUGAUAAUGAAAAAUCUACUAACUCCCAGUGCAUGCCUUUUGUCAUGAUAAUCUUUACUUUUAUUACUUUAAGGGAUGAUUUAGUUGUUUUCAAGUGUGUUAAUUUCAGGUGCUCGUCAAUGUUAAGUGUAUUUGCCAAAGGGAUCCCACAUGACUUGGGCCCCCUUUGCUGAGAUACCACAUAGAGGACUACUGCAGGUGGGCUCAGCUCCAACAAGUGAUUUCAAUCAUUUUAAUCCCCAACCAAAGCACUAAUUUUGGUGUCCACUCUAGGUGAGACUUCAAAAUCAAAGUGUUGCCUUGAUUCACAGAGAUCUUCUACCACAAUCUGUGGUUGGCUUGUUCAUACUGCAGUAUGUCUUUUAUUUAGCUUCAUGGGAAAAAGUCAUGUUAUAGAGGGCUAAAAGGCACAACCAAGCAAUUGAGGCUACAAGAUCCUUAAAGGUUAGCUGGUCAUCAAUCAUGACACCCUAGUUUCCGGACAGACUUUCUGUGCAUGAGUUUCUCUGAUUCAAACUGGGUAUCGGUCAGAGUCGAAAAUGGUGUUUCUUCAUCCAUUCUGAGAUAUCAGAAAAGCAUCAUGAGAUUUGAGCUGAAAGAGUUGUGUGUGGAUGACAGAAAGAGCUGGGAAUUGUCUGCAUAGUAAUUGUACAAAAAACAAUGAGAGACAAUAAUUACGCCAAGAAGGAAUGAAGACUUGAGUUUUAGACUUGGACUUGAGUCCAACUUACGUCGUAUACAGGACAGGCCAAAAGUUUGGACACACCCUCUCAUUUAAUGCAUUUUCUUUAUUCUCAUUACUAUUUGUACUGUAGAUUCUCACUGAGGGCAUCAAAACUAUGAAUGAACAUAUGUGGAAUCAUGUGCUUAAGAAAAAAGUGUGAAAUAACGGAAAACAUGUUUAAGUUUUAGAUUCCUCAAAGUAGCCACCCUUUGCUUUUUUGAUAGCGCUGCAAACUUUUGCUGUUCUCUCAAUGAGCUUCAUGAGGUAGUCACCUGUAUUGGUUUUUACUUCACAGGUGUGCCUUUACCAAGUACUUCUGUCAUCAAGAGCAAAGGGUGGCUAUUUUAUCACACCUGAUUUUCAGCUUCUGGUGCAUGAGCAUCCACACAUAGACUAUAACUAAGAAGGCCACUCAAGCAUAUUUAUUGCCCAAUUUUAGCCUUUUUUCAUCCCCAUGAGAUCUCUGUCCUGAAAUUAAAAUGAUCACUCAUUACCCCUGUGCAUGUUGGGAAAGUUCUGAUGAGAGAUGUAGGCCCCACCUUUUAAUGUUGGCAAAUGACUGUGGUCACAGUCUCAGAGAUAGCUUUGCACUUUCAUUCGUGGCUAUACAAUUCUUAUUUUGCUAUUUUUUAAUCUAUGGGAGACUGGACUGGAUCUUGCUGUUCAGAGACUUUGACUUGGACUCAGAGAAUGAAGAGGAAAGAUUUAAAUUAGGGGUGGGCCAAUGCAUCAGUUCUUCAAUGCAUCACGAUGGAACACGUGACGAUCAAUUAGGAUUAAAAAAUAUUCAAAGUUGAUUAUUUCCCAUGACGUUGAAAUUACAGAAACACCAGUAAGUGUUUAUUUGAGCAGCUUUUUAGGUGAAAAAAAGUGUUGGAUCAUUGGUCUAUUAAAAAUAAUAUAAUGGAGGUAAAUUUGUUUACUUUGUUUUAUGGAUGCUGACAAAUAUAUUUUUAAAAAUCCUGUAUAGAAAAAAUAUGCAUUAAUAAUUCUAAUAAUCUUUAAAAUCAUAAUAAUCAUUACAAUUGUUUGAUUAUCAAAUUGUAGCACCCUGAAUUGUGAUCGGAUUGAAUUGUUAGGUGCCAAAGAUGGCUAACCUCAACUCACUACACUCUCCUCCAUCUGUCUUUAAAAGUUCAAAACCUACAGGAUCCACAAAGGGACCUCAGGGGAAUAUUACCCUUUUGUGUUCAAUUACAUCAUGGGCCUGGAAAACAGUGGAGGGGUCCAUCCAGAUGAUGUCAAACUGGCUUUGAAAGGACAUGUCAUGGAAAAUUACGAGGUACAUUUACUGCAAACUUUGCACAUUUUUCCUCCAAAGAGAUUUAAAUGCACCAUUUAUUAAAUCAGAAUUCUGUCUUAGUUAACAUGUGUUUCAAUCUAAUGUUCUUCAAAUGAAUUGAAAACUGUUUUCCAGUUCAACCCUGAAUCCAAGUUGACUGAGGAGAAUCCGUUCUUUGUCCAAAAUCCAUCUGGGAAUGACAAAGUGAAUGUUCUGGUUUGUGUUGUUGAUGCCUGCCCGAUAUCCCUAAUAGAAGAUGAAACUCUGAGAAAGUUACGUGACAUCAGGAAGGAAGCCAUUCGCCUGGGUAAGAACAGAAAAACUUUUCCAAUAUUUUUCUCAAGGGCUAGACAAAACUUAGAAAAUAAAAACACAGUUUAAACUUUGACAGAUCUUCAAACAGUUCCUCUACCUGGUUUUGAUUUAUGUAUCUGAAGAAGAACAGUGGCUUUUGAAAUAUUUUUUCUCUCAAGGGACUCAAAGUUUUGUGUUUGACAGGGAUCCCUCAAGUGGCCAUCCUCACCCACAUUGAUGACGUCUGUCCUGUCAACAAAGAUUUAAAAACCGUCUACAGGUCCAGGUUUCUGAAGAAGAACGUAUGCUUACUUGUUGAUUUCAUAAUUUUUUUAAGAGGGAAUCAUACUUUAAAAAAGUAGUCUACAAAUAACACACCACUGGGCUCCUUCGCUCAGCACUGAUUUUUGAUUAAAAAUCAUAAUUUAUAAAAAUAAAUCAAUAAAAAUGAUUAUAAAAAUAGUGUUUUUAUCUUUUAAAACCAAAGUUGAUUAAAUACUUUGACAGAAAAACCCUUGCCCUCCCUAUGCAGGUCAUUCCACAGACCUUAGUGGGCACAAGUUCAUUUGAUCCAAGCCAGAUCUGAAUCUGUGUCCUCUAGUCAGGAUGACAGGAAGAGCUCAGUAUCAUCUGCAUAGCAGUGAUUUGAGAAUUCAUGAGUUUGGAUUAGUGCACUGAGUGAGAUUGUGUAUGAUACCCUAGAACAGUGGUUCUUAACCGGGGUUCUAUCGAACCCUAGGGGUUCGGUGAGUCGGUCUCAGGGGUUCGGCGGAGCCUCCGCCGCGGUAGCCUGGCUGGGCCAUCCUGUUGCGUCAAUCACUUGAUGUUCCUUCCCACCACAGUCUGGACUUCGGCCCAUAGAGAGCAUGUAUUCCCAAUCAGAAAAUAACUGGGCCAAUCAGAGACCGUGUUUCCACUGUUACCCGGACAACAGGGAAAGGCAGCCCCUGAUUGGUCCAUGUGUAGUGGUGACGUCUAACACAUGCUGCAGGACUUUUCAAAGCGCUGUUCAUUCAGAACACCGUUAAUUCUGCAGUUGACUCUGCAAAGUCGGCAGAAAUCGUUUAAAUCAGCAGAAGACGUCGGAUAUAAACAAUGUCUUGAAUUUGGAAAAAAAUCAUAUUUAUUUAUCACUAAAGAAGGGUUCGGUGAAUGUGCAUUUGAAACUGGGGGGUUAGGUACCUCAAACAAGGUUAAGAACCACUGCCCUAGAAGAUUCCUUUUUGAGGAAGGACACAAACCUAGAGACCCCACCAAAAGCCAGGCUGUAAGGUCCUUCCAAAGUCCUGAACUCCUCGUCUUGGUCCUUUCAAAGUCCCCAUGCUCUAAUAGAGGUCACUCAGAGUCCUUUUCUCCUCAGAGAGGUCAUCUGAAAGCCCUGAUAUCCUCAUAGAGGUUACGCCAAAGUCACUACAUUUCACCCUGAUUGGCAGUGACUGUCCUGAUCAGGCCAACCAGGAAACCAGAGACAUAUAGUCCAGAUCCAGUCUUUAUUUGAGACCAGUGUUUUUCUGUCAAAACAUACAGUGGCACCAGACUAGUAUCAUAGACUCUGAGUUUAAUUGAAUAGAUAAAUGAAACAGCCAUUCUGAAUCAGGCCUCAUUACUUCUUGUUUUAAAGAAAGGUCACUGCUCUUCCUUCUUUAAAAUUCAGCUGCUAUUAUCUGCUUAUAAUAAUCAGAUCUAAACCUCUUUGGUCCAAUUGAUCAGCAGUACAGUGCGCAUUCAACUGUGUUGUGAUUUUACAGAGCUCUGGGCUGUAAUGUUUACUGAGAGAAUUUGAGCUUUUGUUUAAAUUUGUUUCACUAGAUGGAGGAGCUCAGUGCAAAGAUGGGGAUCCCGAUGAACUGCAUCUUCCCGGUGAAGAACUACCAUGAAGAGAUUGACACCAACAAUGACAUUGAUGUUCUGCUCCUGAGUGCUCUGAAAAACAUCAUCCACUUUGGAGAAGACUACCUUAACCCCUAACUGCAGUAUUCAGCUGUGUGAUCCAUGCUGUUGAAACCCACAGAGCUAAAUGUUUAAUGUUUUGACCAUGUAAUUUAAUAUUGAAUCAUUGUUUUCUGAAGUGUCUCUUUGCUGUGGGCCAAAGUUGAGCUUUAUGUGAUCAGCUUAGCAAACUUCUUUUUUCUGCUUUCAGUGCGUUUAUAGUUAUCUCCUGCUUCUGUGAUUUUUACUCUGUAAAUUUUUAAAAAAUGCAAACAUUGAUUUCAAAUGUAUUCAAGACUUUACAUUCACAAUAAGAAACAGACCUUCUUGGUCUAAACUCCUGUC